RNAcentral lists this long non-coding RNA (1169 nucleotides) under Homo sapiens (human). Its description in RNAcentral is "HSALNT0135103". The record is from RNAcentral. Lineage: Eukaryota; Metazoa; Chordata; Mammalia; Primates; Hominidae.
CUUCAGACUUCCCUGCAGUUUUCUCACAGCCCCUAGGAAAAAGAGGCAGUGUCUCACUUUGUUGCCCAGGCUGGUCUUGAAAAUCUGGACUCAAGCAAUCCUCAUACCUCAGCCUUCCAAAGUGCUAAGAUUACAGGCAUAAGCCACCAUUGCUGGCUCCACCUUUCUUUAGAUGAGAAUGCAAAGGUUGGGCUGCAGAGAACAGAUGACUUCCCUAAGAUUGAUGGUCAGUGCGUGGUGACCUGGGACUAGAAGACACAUCACCGUACCCACAGGUGACAGGGAGAAGUAUUUAUCAAGAACACCCAUUCUCUUAGCCCUCAGAAAAUAUCACAAAUGCACCACCACUGAAAGGUGACAGCUUUUAUAGAUUCAUAGUGACUUACAACCUUCUACUUGGCUGCAGGAAGGCAAAAAUAAUCAAUUUUCAUAUAUCAUGGAGCAGAGGAGAAGGGAAAAUGAGAAGCAACCUGAGAAAUGCCUCUGCUAAAAUAUGUGAAGACCCCAGCUAAUACCCCAUCAAUUCCAUGGUCAAAAAGUACAAAGGUUCUAGAGAAAUAGGCUUGAACAAAGCAACCCAAUCAAGGUGAGAGGACACAGAGAAACAAGGUCUUCAGGCUAGCUUAGCUAUUGAAAUGAUCUAAUUAAAUAAAACAAUUAGAGAUUGGCUUCUGUCCUACGAGUGGUACCCCCCUCCCCAUGAAAUCACAAGGAAUGGCAAGAAUCCAAGAUUGCUUAAGUGAUUUCUUAUUUAACUCAGUCCUUUAAGUGGCUUAGCAAGUGUUAAAUUUAAAUGUGUGUAAAGAUCAUUACCCCCCACACCCAAAAAAAAAAUCAGGUGAAAAUUGUGACUAUGCAUACACAGGGCCACACAUAUAGGUCAAGAGAAAAAAUAGCUUCGGGGAUAUUCAGAGAUUUAGCUUUUAGCAAAAGUCAUUUUUCUCCCUUCAGUAAGCCUGUGAUCUUUUAAUAGCCAUUUUCCUUGAUUGCCUUCUAGAUCAUCGUCUGCUGCCAAGUGCCCAAUCUGAACACCCAGACUCUAGGUCUUGGUAGGGGAGGGGGUUGUGGGAUGAUCCUCAGACCAGAAUUCUGUAAACUUUCCCAGACUCAGCCAGCGGCAUCACUCUCCUGCAUUAUAUAAUAAAACAAAGCCUCAAGUUCAGAUUUCA